GUUGGGGUGGGAGGAUUCGAACCCCCGAAUAAAUGGACCAAAACCACUUGUCUUACCGCUUGACGACACCCCA
This 73-nucleotide transfer RNA is filed under the name Brachyspira pilosicoli 95/1000. RNAcentral's name for it is "tRNA-Gln". The record is from RNAcentral. Lineage: Bacteria; Pseudomonadati; Spirochaetota; Spirochaetia; Brachyspirales; Brachyspiraceae.